UCCAGCUACCAAAGCCUUUUUUUGAGCUGUGCUGUCCUACUGAGCUUCCCUCUAUUGUAUCAGUUAAAAACUGAAAAUGCUUAAAAAACUCUUGAAAACUGACGACCAAGCCUUAUGGCAAAAGUCGACGCAAUAAACGAGCCAUCCCUCUAUGACUCUGCCAUUGAUUUUAUAGAACUCAUUUUAGAAAAUGGGCAAUGGGGUCCAUUUAAAGAUCUGCCCCGAUUGGUUGCAAUCGGCUUCCCCGUUCUUCUCUCGAAAAACCAACUGAGGACAAUGAGGUAGACUUUCUCCAGCGGAGUGGUGCGUGGCUCACUCCAUUCCAAGGUCGCCCGAAGAUCCGGAAUCAUUAGAAGGGGGUUACUGUCGGGCAGUCCACUGUCCGCAUGCCGUAAAACCCGACAGCUAUGGGGCAAAAAACAGAUGUCCUGCAACACGAAAGCCAGCCCCGAGACCCAGAAGAAGCACUUCCGAUCGGUAAUAAAGCACUUCGAUUGGCCCGGGGCAAUCCUAGGCCCAUUAGAAAAACAUCGGAUUUUAAAGAGCAGAGCUAAGGAAAUCUAAAAUAUGGAAGAUCACCCCUUUUAACAACUACCCGUACUUUGGAAUGGUAGUUGCGGAAAACAAUUAACCCUUGACUUAUUACACGUAAUAAAAAAAAAUACAUGUUUACAAGUCGA
Daphnia magna is the source of this 680-nucleotide long non-coding RNA. RefSeq lists it as uncharacterized. Lineage: Eukaryota; Metazoa; Arthropoda; Branchiopoda; Diplostraca; Daphniidae. The transcript is spliced from 2 exons. The record is from RefSeq and is a predicted model, not a curated record.